GACGAACGCUGGCGGCGUGCUUAACACAUGCAAGUCGAACGGAAAGGCCCUGCUUUUGUGGGGUGCUCGAGUGGCGAACGGGUGAGCGACACGUGAGUAACCUGCCCUUGACUUUGGGAUAACUUCAGGAAACUGGGGCUAAUACCGGAUAGGAGCUCCUGCUGCAUGGUGGGGGUUGGAAAGUUUCGGCGGUUGGGGAUGGACUCGCGGCUUAUCAGCUUGUUGGUGGGGUAGUGGCUUACCAAGGCUUUGACGGGUAGCCGGCCUGAGAGGGUGACCGGCCACAUUGGGACUGAGAUACGGCCCAGACUCCUACGGGAGGCAGCAGUGGGGAAUAUUGCACAAUGGGCGGAAGCCUGAUGCAGCAACGCCGCGUGCGGGAUGACGGCCUUCGGGUUGUAAACCGCUUUCGCCUGUGACGAAGCGUGAGUGACGGUAAUGGGUAAAGAAGCACCGGCUAACUACGUG
This 468-nucleotide ribosomal RNA is filed under the name uncultured bacterium. RNAcentral describes it as "partial 16S ribosomal RNA". It matches the Rfam family "Bacterial small subunit ribosomal RNA", at positions 28 to 507 of the family's 1533-position model. The record is from RNAcentral.